Colius striatus (speckled mousebird) is the source of this 2679-nucleotide RNA transcript. It is a transcript of the gene named STE20 related adaptor alpha, with no coding region annotated. NCBI's taxonomy places the organism in Eukaryota, Metazoa, Chordata, Aves, Coliiformes, Coliidae. The transcript is spliced from 11 exons. The record is from RefSeq and is a predicted model, not a curated record.
GGUCGGGUAGACCGCUGAGCCCGCGCCGGGGCUGCCCGGGCGAGCGGCUGAGGCCGGCGAGGCCUGUGGCGAGAGGGUUAGGUGAGGGUUGCUGAGCGCUCUUCGGCGCGCCGCCCGGUGCCGGGGCUGUGAGGAGGUGACCCAGUGGUGUACCCGCAGGUUGUUCCGUCCCUUCCCGAGCUGCGUGUGGUAAAACACGCGGAUUCCAUGUCUUUCCUUGUAAGUAAACCCGAGCGGAUUAGGCGGUGGGUGUCUGAAAAGUUCAUUGUUGAGGGCUUAAGAGACUUUGAACUGUUUGAAGGCAGAGGCUUUGAAGAUUUAAUGGUGGUGAACCUGGCUAGGUAUAAACCCACAGGAGGGUAUGUCACAGUCAGAAGAGUGAACCUGGAGGCUUGCACCAAUGAAAUGGUCACGUUCUUGCAGGGGGAACUCCAUGUUUCCAAACUCUUCAACCACCCUAACAUCGUGCCAUACAAAGCAACUUUCAUAGCUGACAACGAGCUGUGGGUGGUGACAUCUUUCAUGGCCUACGGUUCUGCAAAAGAUUUAAUCUGUACCCAUUUCAUGGAUGGAAUGAGUGAACUGGCCAUUGCAUACAUCCUCCAAGGUGUACUCAAAGCACUGGACUACAUCCACCAUAUGGGCUAUGUACAUAGGAGUGUUAAAGCCAGCCACAUCCUGAUCUCUGUGGAUGGCAAAGUGUACCUCUCCGGCCUGCGAAGCAACCUCAGCAUGAUCAACCACGGGCAACGGCUCAAAGUUGUUCAUGACUUUCCCAAAUACAGCAUCAAAGUCCUGCCUUGGCUCAGUCCUGAAGUCUUGCAGCAGAAUCUGCAAGGUUAUGAUGCAAAAUCUGACAUCUACAGCGUGGGGAUAACAGCCUGUGAGCUGGCAAAUGGACAUGUACCAUUUAAAGACAUGGCUUCUACUCAGAUGCUCCUGGAGAAGAUGAAUGGGACUGUUCCCUGUCUUCUGGACACCACCACCAUCCCUGCUGAUGAGCUGAGUAUGAAAACCUCCCGUUCAAGUGCUAAUUAUGGGAUGGCUGAGAGCAUGGCCACCAGCAAUGUGAGAGCAGCCAACGGGGAGCCAAGCCUGCACCCCUACCUUCGGACCUUCUCCACCUACUUCCACAACUUUGUAGAGCAAUGUCUGCAGAGGAACCCUGAUUUCAGGCCGAGCGCAGGCACUCUGUUGACUCACCCCUUUUUCAAGCAGAUCAAGCACCGUGUGUCCGAAGCGCUGCCCGAGCUGCUGCGCCCCGUCACUCCCAUCACCAACUUUGAAGGGACAUGGCCUCAGGAUCCCAGUGGCAUUUUUGGGCUGGUGUCAAACCUGGAGCAGCUAGAUGUGGAUGACUGGGAAUUCUAGAGGGGGGAAAAAAAAGCAACCCCACCAGAGACUUAUUACCUGGUUGUGGACAUUGUAAUUUAUUGGUCCUGUUCAUCAAAGAUGACGAAUGUUGCACGUAGAAGAGUUUACAGGUCCUUGGGAAGGAACUUUGCAACUGCCUGUUUACUUCAGUAACCUGAAAACAAAAAAGGCCAGACCUGAACUGGGAAAGGAACAACCCCUAAGGACCAAGAGCACCGACUUCAUGCAGCUGAGCACAGACUACAGCCCAGGUCCCUGACAUGGUUUGACAUGACAGCCUUUUCUGGUAAGGGGGAAGGGGCUGUAAAGAUGGCUCCUGUAAGAAGUUGCUCGCAACUCUCCCCAGCUCAGAGACAGACCCACUUCUGGGGCUGAGCCAAUUAGACGCCUCCACAAUCACUUUUUUGAGAAGAAGCCGGAAGGGGAAGUUUCUUCCUCCAUCUUCUUUCCUUCUUCUGCCCCUUCUUCCUUCUUCUGGCUGGUGGUGGUGCAAGGAGUAGGAACGGUGAGAGAAACAACCAUGCGGACUCCAAGGUCAGUGACGAAAGAGAGGAGGAGGUGUGCUGGAGCAGAGACUCCCCUGCAUUCUAUGGAGAGAACUGGUGAAGCUGAGAUUUAUUUGCAUUUCUUUAAAGACCCCGCAUCAGCGGUAGAGACUCAUUUUGAUAAUGAGCCCGCAUCAGGGGCAGACUUAUUUUGCUAAAGCUGACCCCGGACCAGGGGCAGUGAUUCACUUCAUUAAAGGCCCCGAGCCAGGGACAGUGACUAUGGCCAGAGGAGGCCGUGUUCUGAAGUAGGGGCCCUUUAUCACUAUGGCCGGAGCAGGCCUUGUCCUGAGAGAGGGACCCUGCAACUGCAGAAACUGCAACCGCGGUGAAGAAUCCAAGCCAGAGAUAUUCACCAAGGACUGUGUCCCGUGUGAGGGACCCUGUAUGGGCAGAAGCUGCAGCUGCUGGGAACAACCCACACCAGAGAAGUUUGUUAAGGACUAUGUUCCGAGGGAGGAACCCCGUGUUGGAGCAGGGGAAGAAUGCCAGGAGUCGUCCUCAUCUGAGAAGACAGAAGCAGCAGAGCCCAUCUGUGAGAGACUGACCACAUCCCCCAUUCCCUGCCCCCCUGAGCCAUUGUGGGGGGAGGAGGUAGAGAUAUCGGGAGCAGUGAGCUGGGCCCGGGAAGAAAGGAGGGAUGGGGGAGGGAGAUCUUAAAGUGCUGGUUGUAAUUUUCUCAUCAUCCUACUCCCUUUUUUUUUUUGCUUUUAUUCUGUUCUGUUUCUUGUAGAAUAAACUUUCCUACUUUCCUCUCUAA